GAUGAAGAACGUAGCGAAAUGCGAUAAGUAAUGUGAAUUGCAGAAUUCAGUGAAUCAUCGAAUCUUUGAACGCACAUUGCGCCCCCUGGUAUUCCGGGGGGCAUGCCUGUUCGAGCGUCAUUUCACCACUCAAGCCUCGCUUGGUAUUGGGCAUCGCGGUCCGCCGCGUGCCUCAAAUCGACCGGCUGGGUCUUCUGUCCCCUAAGCGUUGUGGAAACUAUUCGCUAAAGGGUGUUCGGGAGGCUACGCCGUAAAACAACCCCAUUUCUAAGGUUGACCUCGGAUCAGGUAGGGAUACCCGCUGAACUUAAGCAUAUCAAUAAGAGGAGGA
This 331-nucleotide unclassified non-coding RNA is filed under the name soil metagenome. RNAcentral describes it as "partial contains 5.8S ribosomal RNA, internal transcribed spacer 2, and large subunit ribosomal RNA". The stretch from base 1 to 120 matches the Rfam family "5.8S ribosomal RNA", at positions 35 to 154 of the family's 154-position model. The record is from RNAcentral.